This 491-nucleotide ribosomal RNA is filed under the name uncultured bacterium. RNAcentral's name for it is "partial 16S ribosomal RNA". It matches the Rfam family "Bacterial small subunit ribosomal RNA", at positions 29 to 507 of the family's 1533-position model. The record is from RNAcentral.
GUGAACGCUGGCGGUAGGCCUAACACCUGCCAGUCGCACGGCAGCACAGUAAGAGCUUGCUCUUACGGGUGGCGAGUGGCGGACGGGUGAGGAAUACAUCGGAAUCUACUUUUUCGUGGGGGAUAACGUAGGGAAACUUACGCUAAUACCGCAUGCGACCUACGGGUGAAAGCAGGGGAUCUUCGGACCUUGCGCGAUUGAAUGAGCCGAUGUCGGAUUAGCUAGUUGGCGGGGUAAAGGCCCACCAAGGCGACGAUCCGUAGCUGGUCUGAGAGGAUGAUCAGCCACACUGGAACUGAGACACGGUCCAGACUCCUACGGGAGGCAGCAGUGGGGAAUAUUGGACAAUGGGCGCAAGCCUGAUCCAGCCAUACCGCGUGGGUGAAGAAGGCCUUCGGGUUGUAAAGCCCCUUUGUUGGGAAAGAAAAGCAGCAGGUUAAUACCCCGCUGUUCUGACGGUACCCAAAGAAUAAGCACCGGCUAACUUCGUG